RNAcentral lists this unclassified non-coding RNA (348 nucleotides) under soil metagenome. RNAcentral's name for it is "partial contains 5.8S ribosomal RNA, internal transcribed spacer 2, and large subunit ribosomal RNA". The stretch from base 1 to 120 matches the Rfam family "5.8S ribosomal RNA", at positions 35 to 154 of the family's 154-position model. The record is from RNAcentral.
GAUGAAGAACGCAGCAAAAUGCGAUAAGUAAUGUGAAUUGCAGAAUUCAGUGAAUCAUCGAAUCUUUGAACGCACAUUGCGCCCCCUGGUAUUCCGGGGGGCAUGCCUGUCCGAGCGUCAUUGCCGCCCUCAAGCACGGCUUGUGUGUUGGGCCCCCGCCCCCCGGCUUCGGGGGGCGGGCCCGAAAGGCAGCGGCGGCACCGCGUCCGGUCCUCGAGCGUAUGGGGCUUCGUCACCCGCUCUGUAGGCCCGGCCGGCGCCCGCCGGCGACCCCAAUCAAUCUUUCCAGGUUGACCUCGGAUCAGGUAGGGAUACCCGCUGAACUUAAGCAUAUCAAUAAGCGGAGGA